GGGAGCUUGCUCCCUGAGAUUAGCGGCGGACGGGUGAGUAACACGUGGGCAACCUGCCUAUAAGACUGGGAUAACUUCGGGAAACCGGAGCUAAUACCGGAUACGUUCUUUUCUCGCAUGAGAGAAGAUGGAAAGACGGUUUACGCUGUCACUUAUAGAUGGGCCCGCGGCGCAUUAGCUAGUUGGUGAGGUAAUGGCUCACCAAGGCGACGAUGCGUAGCCGACCUGAGAGGGUGAUCGGCCACACUGGGACUGAGACACGGCCCAGACUCCUACGGGAGGCAGCAGUAGGGAAUCUUCCGCAAUGGACGAAAGUCUGACGGAGCAACGCCGCGUGAACGAAGAAGGCCUUCGGGUCGUAAAGUUCUGUUGUUAGGGAAGAACAAGUACCAGAGUAACUGCUGGUACCUUGACGGUACCUAACCAGAAAGCCACGGCUAACUACGUGCCAGCAGCCGCGGUAAUACGUAGGUGGCAAGCGUUGUCCGGAAUUAUUGGGCGUAAAGCGCGCGCAGGUGGUUCCUUAAGUCUGAUGUGAAAGCCCACGGCUCAACCGUGGAGGGUCAUUGGAAACUGGGGAACUUGAGUGCAGAAGAGGAAAGUGGAAUUCCAAGUGUAGCGGUGAAAUGCGUAGAGAUUUGGAGGAACACCAGUGGCGAAGGCGACUUUCUGGUCUGUAACUGACACUGAGGCGCGAAAGCGUGGGGAGCAAACAGGAUUAGAUA
Molecule: ribosomal RNA, 725 nt
Filed under: Bacillus sp. Pe4s12
Lineage: Bacteria; Bacillati; Bacillota; Bacilli; Caryophanales; Bacillaceae
Description: bacterial SSU rRNA
Rfam family: Bacterial small subunit ribosomal RNA
Source: RNAcentral